This 1715-nucleotide long non-coding RNA is filed under the name Salvia miltiorrhiza (redroot sage). RNAcentral's name for it is "long non-coding RNA (SMIL_LNC008720)". The record is from RNAcentral. Lineage: Eukaryota; Viridiplantae; Streptophyta; Magnoliopsida; Lamiales; Lamiaceae.
CCCUUAUCUCUCUUUCCUCCAUGAACCUCCAUUAGAGAGACCUUCCAAGCUUCCCAAAAUUACAUCUAUGGCAUAAUCCUUCACUAAAUCAAGCCCUAAACACUUUCUACACUUGAUUUCAAAGAGAUUUUAGAAGGUUUGAGCAUGAAGUUUAGAGAAAAGAAUUCUACUUUUCCUUAAAAUUUUUGAGUAAGUGUUAGAUAUCUCUAGAUCUAACCAUAUUUGAGUUAGAUAUGUGUAUUUAUGCAUGAUUGAAGCAAGAAAAACACCCCCUCUCUUUUUCCGUUAAUUUUCGAAAAUCAAGGGGGUUUUCCCUUCAAAAAAUUUUCUUAUUCUUUUCUUAAAUUGGGAUGAAAUUUAUGCUUACCAAGGUGUUUUAAGAUGAUUGCUAUGUGUGUUGAAAAGCCAUGUCAUGUGAUGCAAAUUUUCACUUAGGUUAGUUUACCUAACUUUGGGAUAAUUUGAUUUUAUGGCUUAAGUGAUGAAUUGAUGAUUGAUAUAUUGCUAUUGAGGAUAUUAAUAUGAUAUUAGAUAGAUUGGAUUGAUGAUUGAGAUGGAUGGAUGGAACUUGAUGUGAGUUAGUUUGUUGGAAAUUAGAGAUAUUUGGUUAUGAGCUUCAUUAUGUAAAUUGAUGAUUUAUAUAUGCUAUUGAGAUGUCUAAUAUGAUGAAUUAUGAGAGAGAUUGAAGAUUGUAAGUGAUUUGCAAAUUUCGGUGAGAGUUAGUUUGAUGUGAUUUGGGUAAAACUUAUUCUAUGGUUUAAUUGAUUGGUUAAUAAUGCAAUUAGGUGAUUCAAUUUGAUUAGUCAAAGGUUGGAUUAAUGGUUUAUGCAUGUUUGUAAAUUUUCAAAAAGUUUAGUUUGAUAUAAAUUAAGGAUUUUUUAUUUAUGUGUUAAUUAUGCAAAUUGGCUAAGUUUAAUUGUUAUUAAGCAUGAUAGAAAUGAUAAUUAGCGAUCAAUUUGGUUAAUUAUUAAGAAUAACUAAAAUUGGUUAAGUUUAGUUUACUAAUAAUUGGGAACUUUUGAUUAAUGAGAUAAAUACUUGAAUUGAUGAUGUUUAUGUGUUAGUUAGACUACUACCAAGGAGAAAGCAUGAUUAAAUUGUUUAUUUAUAAUGAGUUAUGAAAAUUUCUCGAGUUUAGUUUACGUGCAUAUAUGAGAUCUUGUAUAUAAGAUGAGUUAUGAGUCAAGCAUGUCUAUAUGUGGCUAAUUGAUGAUAAAUUGAGCUUAUAUAUGCGAUAUGAGAUGAAAUGAAUCAUCCCCUAAAAACCUAUAUGUUGGCCGAAUGUGACGAGUAAUAUUCCUACAUCAGGGACUCUCUGCUCAGCAAUAAGUGUCAGUGAUGAAGUUCAGCAGAGAUGGGAAGAGUACAAAAAUUAAGGGCCUUCCACAUUUGAUUUACAACAUCUAUGAAUGAAGAUUUGGGUCCUCCACUAUAACAGCCCUUGGCAGCGACACCCUUGUGUCUCUUGUAUGGGAAGAAUUACAGCCCUGCAUUCACUCAUGGCUCGGGUCUUCUCAACACAAUGGGGAAUUUCAGCCCUACACUAGACUUCUCGGUGCAAGAGAACUUCCAGCCCUGCUCUUGACUUCUCACACACACCAGGACUUCCAACCCUACGCGGGAUUUCUUGAGGAUUUCCAAUACUGCGCUGACUUUUGGGCACGACGGAGGGACCUCCAGCUUGCUCAAGAUUUUCUCGCGCAACAGGUUUCCAG